This 253-nucleotide ribosomal RNA is filed under the name uncultured bacterium. RNAcentral's name for it is "partial 16S ribosomal RNA". It matches the Rfam family "Bacterial small subunit ribosomal RNA", at positions 524 to 776 of the family's 1533-position model. The record is from RNAcentral.
UACGAAGGGUGCAAGCGUUACUCGGAAUUACUGGGCGUAAAGCGUGCGUAGGUGGUGAGUUAAGUCUGUCGUGAAAGCCCCGGGCUCAACCUGGGAAUGGCGAUGGAUACUGGCUCGCUAGAGUCCGGAAGAGGCGAGUGGAACUCCUGGUGUAGCGGUGGAAUGCGCAGAUAUCAGGAAGAACACCAACGGCGAAGGCAGCUCGCUGGGACGGUACUGACGCUGAGACGCGAAAGCGUGGGGAGCGAACAGG